CUCCCUCGUUGCUGACCCCAGGUUCGAUAGCACCAAUUAGGCAUCACCUCGCCAAGAACCAACUUCGAUGAAGCGACGGGCGGUGUGUGCAAGG
RNAcentral lists this ribosomal RNA (94 nucleotides) under uncultured archaeon. RNAcentral describes it as "partial 16S ribosomal RNA". The record is from RNAcentral.